AUUGAACGCUGGCGGCAUGCCUUACACAUGCAAGUCGAACGGCAGCAUAGGAGCUUGCUCCUGAUGGCGAGUGGCGAACGGGUGAGUAAUAUAUCGGAACGUGCCCUAGAGUGGGGGAUAACUAGUCGAAAGAUUAGCUAAUACCGCAUACGAUCUACGGAUGAAAGUGGGGGAUCGCAAGACCUCAUGCUCCUGGAGCGGCCGAUAUCUGAUUAGCUAGUUGGUGGGGUAAAAGCCUACCAAGGCGACGAUCAGUAGCUGGUCUGAGAGGACGACCAGCCACACUGGGACUGAGACACGGCCCAGACUCCUACGGGAGGCAGCAGUGGGGAAUUUUGGACAAUGGGGGCAACCCUGAUCCAGCAAUGCCGCGUGGGUGAAGAAGGCCUUCGGGUUGUAAAGCUCUUUUGUCAGGGAAGAAACAGUUCUGGAUAAUACCCAGAGCUAAUGACGGUACCUGAAGAAUAAGCACCGGCUAACUACGUGCCAGCAGCCGCGGUAA
This 502-nucleotide ribosomal RNA is filed under the name uncultured bacterium. Its description in RNAcentral is "partial 16S ribosomal RNA". It matches the Rfam family "Bacterial small subunit ribosomal RNA", at positions 30 to 523 of the family's 1533-position model. The record is from RNAcentral.